UAAGACGGCCAUAGUGGAUUGGAAACACCUGUUCCCUUUCCGAACACAGAAGUUAAGCUUUCCACGUUGGUAGUGCUAGUGUCUGAAGAGAUGCGAACCUAUCAAGCUGUCUUGC
Molecule: ribosomal RNA, 115 nt
Filed under: Candidatus Pacearchaeota archaeon
Lineage: Archaea; Nanobdellati
Source: RNAcentral